UUUAUUUUCGUAAAUCAAUAGAAUACAUAUGUUCAUUUUAUGAACGUGAGAUUAUUGAGUUCAUGUUUAUGAUGCAUGAACGUGCAAGUAAAAUGCAUAUCUAAAUUGAUAAUCGUAAUAAAUAGUUUGUACAAUUAUAUUAUUAUUAGGUUCCAGCCUGCACCAGAGUAUACAAUGAUGCGGUGUUAAGAGUGGUCAUAUAGAUUGAACGCCAUCAUACAUCAUACAACAAACAACAGAUCUACGUAUAAUAGUGAAACUGUCGUGCACGAUACCAUAACUAGCCAUAACGAACUAACAUAUAGAGAAGUUAUCUGGAUAUACAAACAGCUGAAGAUGUUGGAAUAAUUUUGGACUUUAAAUGUUCAUAAUAAUUUGAUGUAUUUUUUCUUCUUAAUCGUUUUUUUGUUUUGUGUUUGUUUAUAAAAUUAGUUAUUUAUUCUUAUCGUUGAUUCUUUAGUCAAGAGUGUAAAAUAGCACUGAAAGACUUAUACAUCCGUCCGUCCGUGACAACCUACUAGUUAUGUAUUGCAUUGUUAACACUUAAACAUGUCAUGUAUACAAUUAUGUUUUAUUACUAAGUUUAAAUCUCUUUUCAUUAUACCUAGUAGGUAUAUGAAGCAUGACUUGGUGAUUUUGAGGUGACAAAACGAAG
This 655-nucleotide long non-coding RNA is filed under the name Mytilus galloprovincialis (Mediterranean mussel). Lineage: Eukaryota; Metazoa; Mollusca; Bivalvia; Mytilida; Mytilidae. The record is from RNAcentral.